Zootermopsis nevadensis is the source of this 73-nucleotide non-coding RNA. The record is from Rfam. Lineage: Eukaryota; Metazoa; Arthropoda; Insecta; Blattodea; Termopsidae.
GCCACGGUGGUCUAGCGGUUAGAACGCUGACCUUGUAAUCCUGGGGUCCCAGGUUCGAUUCCCGGCUGUGCCC